Carassius auratus (goldfish) is the source of this 527-nucleotide long non-coding RNA. RefSeq lists it as uncharacterized. The record is from RefSeq and is a predicted model, not a curated record. Lineage: Eukaryota; Metazoa; Chordata; Actinopteri; Cypriniformes; Cyprinidae. The transcript has 4 exons.
UGAACCAGAGCAGAUCAAAUCAAAGGCAAUACAAAGAUAAUUAAAUAACAAAAUAAGGCGGAUAAACGUAUCAUAGACCAUUUAGUUAACGUUACUCAAUAAAUGGAGCAAUCGGCAGGUGUGUGUAUUUAUGGCAUUCAUGACGAAUAUGCAGCGACAGCGACCACUAAAGGUGCACUAAGGAAUUCCCGCGCGUGACAUCAGCGCCAAGAAAAGCGCGCCAUUCUACAUCAGUUAUUGAGCAGCAGACCAGAAAGGAGCUGCUGGGCGAAUAAUUGUGUUUGAAUGACUGAAAGGUUGAUUGGAGGUCCCAGAGUGUCCACUAGAUGGUGAAAGAGCCUUUAGGAAUGCUAGAUGAGAACCGUGAGAAUGAAGGGCAGAAAAGACACUUUCCUCAAAAUCCACAAAACAAAUGUCCUUUAUGGUUCAAGUCAAGAGCACCACUGAAUGCUUGGGGAUAUGUCACAUCUACUCACUGCCAGCCUUAUGACAGAUUCUCUGCAAAACUACAGCAUAAGCAACCCAAG